Molecule: long non-coding RNA, 3680 nt
Organism: Cygnus olor (mute swan)
Lineage: Eukaryota; Metazoa; Chordata; Aves; Anseriformes; Anatidae
Exons: 3
Source: RefSeq, a predicted model, not a curated record
GACUAGAACAAACACCCUUACAUCAUAGACGUAGUGUUUCAAGCUCUAAACCAAAGUAUGAGGAAGGGCUGAAUUCAACAAGAUACCUGCACCCCCAGUGAAUAGCUUAACUGAAAAAAUGAUGAUAGUUCUGCAAGGAGUUUAAUUUUUUCAAGUUGAUCACUAGCAAUUCCAGCUGGGUCCUGAGGAUUUCUGCCUGAUAACAAGAUCUUUGGAAGUGCUGCUUUCUACAUGACUAGGUUGAGCCUGAGACAGAUGGAAAAACUGUGGGUGCUGAAAAGCAGUCUCUGUAGAGAAACCAGCAGUAUAUAAAAGUUGGGUCACUACUAGGGAGGUUGACGAGACUUAGCCAACUGUUGACUCCUGUGCUGGAUUUAUCCCACCAAUUUUCUGCUGUGCUAUCAUAUUCCAUGGGAAACACAGCCUGUUUCUGCUCUAUCUGACAAUUUUUGUUAUCAAAAUGAUUUGAAUGUGAUGUCAUAGCAAGUGCUGUAGUACAAUACUGACAUGUUCUCUAUAUUAUUUUUAAUUUCAUUAACUCAAGAAAAAUAAUUCACUUUGACUGGCAUGAUUUUUUUUCCUCCAAACUCACAGAGCUUAUCACUCAUUGAUCUGCUAUCCUAUACAUAUUUUGUAUUUUGUUUAUUUAUUUUGUUUAGGGUACUCAUUCUGUUAUUUAGAAGGAUUGAAAAUUAACCUUACCAAGGAAGUAAUUACGAAGGUCAAAUGCCAAAAGACUGAUACCGAAUCUAAGUUGGAAGUUGUCCAUAAAAUUUUCUAAGCUUCCUGUAUUUCUGUGAAUUUAUUAGCUAAUUCAGCUGAAUCUGAAUGCAAAUCACCUGAACAGCUGAUAUAACAGCUGAAUAACUUUAAUCAAAAUUUAGAGUUUUCACUUGUUUGGUUUUGUUUGAUUUUAUUCCAACUCCAUAUUCUAUUUUAUUGUUAAAGAGACUUAAGUCCUCAUUAAUGGCCAUGUCUUUCCUCCCCUCCUUCAAUCUCCCUCUCUCCCCCCACAUAUAUAUAUACACACACAUAUACAUUUAUAUCUCUAAUACAUAUUUUGAAGAAAGAAGGGCUGAAACUCUAUUAUGGCUGCAGAGCUAUCUAAGGCUUGUUUACAGCUUCCUAGACAGCUGUGUACAGAUAACUAAGCAAAGCACGAAAAUCGAAGGAGACACGUCAGGCAAAGGGACCAUUCUGUUCCACUUUGAGUUUUAUCCUCCACUUCAUAGCUAAGUGAACUUGUCUCAGGGGAUAGUCUUGAAUUUGUGGGCUUAAACUUAUUUAUUGUGAAAAGACAAGCAAAAGCAAAAAGUUACCUGCAACAGUCCUCUUAAAAAAUAAAGACCUAAUUACAUACAAGCAAAGAAAAUACAGCUGAGACUAUGUGAAACAGAGGAUUUCUGUGCCAGAUGGUUUGAAAGACACUUCAUUGUUACUCUUGGUUUAUGUUUUGUAGGCUCAUACUCAAGGGUUUUGGAUCUUAUCUCCAUUCUGAAAGGACUAAAAAAUAUAUCUUGUCUGAAACUCCUGAAUUUGGCUUUCCUAAGUCUUUGUAACCACAAAAUCAACUGUCUAGUGUGACUUCCAGAUGACAUUGAAAAACCCUUCCUGGCAAAAGCAUUCCUGGAAAAGCUUCAGCCAAAACCUGGCAUAGGAUUAUGCCCAGAAUAUGGACUCAGGUUUGCUGAAAUGCAGCCAGAAUUUGGAUCAAGAUUGCUGAAAGCUUUGAAAAUUAUUUCUAGUUUGUUAGGAAAAUGUUGCCCAGCUGUAGUCAUUACAGAUGCAUUGUAGCAAUUAUUAUAUCCAGUGAAGUAGUGUCCUGGGGAUAUGGAAAGGAUGGAGGGUACCUUUUCAUCUUGUAUACAACAGCAGGAUGGGAAUCCAAACUCUAUUUAGCAGAGUACUAAUGAAAGGGACUUACUAUUUUCUCAGCCAGAACAGAGGCCCAAAGAAAGCCUUCUUGCUGGUUCAACAGCUGGUUCCCUGAGAUAUUUUCUCCAGACAGGUUGCAUUUGUAUCCAGUGCAACAAAACCACUCAUGUGGCAAAUAUGUCUUAGAGGGUAAGGAGGCCUGUGUUUUUAAAGGAAAUGAGAAUACUUUUGUUUAGUAAUUGUAGCCUGUAUCACUGCAUUUUUCUUAUUUCAUUCUCUAUUGUGCAAUAUUUAUCAAGUUUUCAUCAUACAUCAUUACAAAAUAAGAUGUGAGCAAAUUAUUAUUAUUGUUGUGUAUCUGUGCUCAAAAGUUGUUUUGUAUUUAUUUAUUUAUUUUUUAGGGUUUGAAAGAAAUCUCCAUAUAAUUUAUAAAUCCUUGAUUUUCUACAGUAUUUUCCAUGGCAUGUUGAGGUGGAAUCAUAGCAAUGCUGGUUGUAAGAAAUAUCUGGAGCCAGGAUUAUCAUUAACAUCAGGAUCUGUGGAUCAGGCUAUGAGGGCUUGACACGCUAAAAUGUGAAACUCUCCAUGGACAGGGUAGCUACAGAUAAGCUAUGUACUGCCUUCCUAGUGAUGUUAUUUAUCUUAGUGUCCAAUCUGAAUCUCUCAUGCCAGGCUGCUGACUCUUGUUACAUAUCGUGCCACAGAGUAGGACAGGUUGGCUCCAUCAUGCCUGCAGUUUUCUACCAUAUCAAUCCUAGCGUAUGCUAGUCAUAUUCCAACCAUUAUUAUUGCAUCUUUUGGUUAAAACUUUCCUACACUACACCACUGUACUCUGUUUCUUUCUUUGUUUUUGUUUAUGACCUUUUCAUUCGGUGAAGGGAGAAAAAAAUGGAAGAUGCAAGAAAAAAAUUAAGAAAAUGUUGGAAUUUCCUUUAAAAAACAAGGUGACUAAAUUCUGAAUGCUCAAAACAAACAAACAAACAAAAACUCCCAACCAUUUACUUUUGAACAUCAGUUUCAUCUUGCUACCAAAAUUCCUUAAGUAAUCGAACAGUGUGCCUUGACUGUUUUUUGAACAGAAUUUAUGCUUAUGUUUAUUUGACAGAUCCAAAUAAAUACAAAUAACAUUAAAUUCUGCAUACAGAGGCUGAGUGCAAGGAAAAGUUUCCCAGAAAUGAAAUAAGUUUAUUUGGGACUGCUCAUAACAUAGUUUGGGUCAAUUAAAGUUUGACUACACAAAGGCAUGAAUUCACUCUUCCAUUUCUACACAGAGCAAAGACAGAUGUCUUAAAAGGUUGUUUCCAGCAUGGACUACUUCAGGAAAUACACGAUACAUAUCAACUGAUACAUACCAAGCUGCUUGUGUUCUGAAAGAUUAUUAUAUCACAAAUGUAGUAUUUAUCUUACCAGUAUUAGUAUGUGAAGAAAUUAGUAUUUUUGUGUUAGUAGCCAUGAAAAAGCACUAAGGUAGAUAUUUUUUCAGCUGAUUAUACCCUGAAAGAAGCUUGUGUCAAGAUUCCCUCUGGUAACCCCAUAACUAAAGGGCCUUAUGUUAACCACUUUUCCUAUUCACAACCAUAAGACAAUAAUUUCCCUCUGGACCAGACUGCUCUAAAGAAGAGAAAGAAAAUACACUGUUUCACUUGAUCUUUUUCCAUCAGACAGGAAUCAGGCAGCCAAAGGGGAAAGUGUGAAACCUCCCGGUCUGGAUUUUCAAGUGCUAUUUGUUGAUGAGACCAACAGAGCUAUGUGCCUGUGCCAGCUGCAUUUCUCUUUGUGUGGUCUCCCAUGAAAGGUAACUGUGU